Molecule: transfer RNA, 72 nt
Filed under: Pyricularia grisea
Lineage: Eukaryota; Fungi; Ascomycota; Sordariomycetes; Magnaporthales; Pyriculariaceae
Also listed under: 6 other names
Description: tRNA-Asp
Rfam family: tRNA
About the family: Transfer RNA (tRNA) molecules are approximately 80 nucleotides in length. Their secondary structure includes four short double-helical elements and three loops (D, anti-codon, and T loops).
Source: RNAcentral
UCUUUCGUAGUAUAGUGGUUAGUAUGCAAGCUUGUCACGCUUGAGACCCGGGUUCAAUUCCCGGCGAGAGAG